Molecule: ribosomal RNA, 478 nt
Filed under: uncultured bacterium
Lineage: Bacteria
Description: partial 16S ribosomal RNA
Rfam family: Bacterial small subunit ribosomal RNA
Source: RNAcentral
GACGAACGCUGGCGGCGUGCUUAACACAUGCAAGUCGAACGGUAAGGCCCUUCGGGGUACACGAGUGGCGAACGGGUGAGUAACACGUGGGUGAUCUGCCCUGCACUUCGGGAUAAGCCUGGGAAACUGGGUCUAAUACCGGAUAGGACUCCGGACUGCAUGGUCUGGGGUGGAAAGCUUUUGCGGUGUGGGAUGGGCGCGCGGCCUAGCAGCUUGUUGGUGGGGUGAUGGCCUACCAAGGCGACGACGGGUAGCCGGCCUGAGAGGGUGACCGGCCACACUGGGACUGAGUUACGGCCCAGACUCCUACGGGAGGCAGCAGUGGGGAAUAUUGCACAAUGGGCGCAAGCCUGAUGCAGCGACGCCGCGUGAGGGAUGACGGCCUUCGGGUUGUACACCUCUUUCAGCAUCGACGAAGCGAAAGUGACGGUAGGUGCAGAAGAAGGACCGGCCAACUACGUGCCAGCCGCCGCAGUAA